This is a long non-coding RNA of Canis lupus familiaris (dog), 880 nucleotides long. RefSeq lists it as uncharacterized. The transcript has 6 exons. Lineage: Eukaryota; Metazoa; Chordata; Mammalia; Carnivora; Canidae. The record is from RefSeq and is a predicted model, not a curated record.
CUUUGUGAUGAGAUGAAGUGAGGUUAAUGACACAUGCAUUGUGACAUAGUGUUGGGCUACUAUGGCCAUGUGACAAUACAUCAGAAAGAGGAUCACCUACUUCUGGACUGCAGUUGACCGUGGGUAACUGAAACUAUGAUUCUGCCAAAUGUCCAGAAUUCCCUAUUGCAGUUGAUGCUAUGGCAUUCUUCUUAGAGUUUGACUAGUUUUAUGCACUAUUCAUUCCAAAGCAAAGCCGCAAGACUGAGUUCAACCGGAGGAAGCAUGUAGAUAAAAGAGAGAAGCAGCUCAGGAGCACUCCAGAAUCCAGCAGCCAGGAGAUAAGGAAGAAUCAGCAAAGGAGGCAGAAAAGAAGAGAAGACAGCUGGAACCAUGGAAGGUGCAGAAGAGAAAAAUGGAUGGUCACUGUUAUGCCAAGAACCCUUAAGAAAAAGAAAAAAAAAACCCCUCACAGAACUGAACCUCAACUUAAGAAAGAAGUUUGCCCAAAAGAUGUUUUGAAAGGCAAGGAAAAACUUACCUGUGAUAAAGUUCCCAAGUUUGACUAUGCCUGGCACACUGAAAAGAUGAAGUUUUCAAAUAGACAGGACUGAGCAGUGGAGUUUGGGCUGCAGUGACUUCCCCAAGACUGCUGCCACUUGGGCUCUAACUGAAACAUCAGCUCUUCCUGGGACUGGAGCCUGCCAGUAUUUAGACUGGAACUACGUACACUAUCAUCAGCUCUCCUAUGUCUCCAGCAUGGUGACUGAAGAUUUUGGAACUUGCCAACCUUCAUAAUCAUGUGAACCAUUUCCUCGUACUAAAUCCUUUUCUCUGUCUGUAUACACCUGAUUGGUUCUGUUUCUUUCGAGAGAACACUGACUAAAUAAUCGAGUGUCUU